RNAcentral lists this transfer RNA (66 nucleotides) under Acanthotermes acanthothorax. Its description in RNAcentral is "tRNA-Asn". Lineage: Eukaryota; Metazoa; Arthropoda; Insecta; Blattodea; Termitidae. The record is from RNAcentral.
UUAACUGAAACCAAAAAGAGGUAUAUUAUUGUUAAUAAUAAAAAUGAAUACAUAAUUCCAGUUAAA